CAUCUUUUCACUAGAACUAGAAUAGUCAGAAAUAUUAUUUUUCUUCUUUCAACUCUCUUCAUCACACAACACAAAUCAAAGCCGAAAGAACGAGAAUUAGCCGAGAGUAGAGGAGAAAGUUGGAAGGGCGCUAUUGUUGCUUCCUCUCUGCAAUGACAGAAAUUUGACACGUAUCUUGGUUUGGUUAACUUGGAUGGAAGUGACCCUGCAAUUGGUGCUUGCAGCCAUUGAGGUGGCGAUUCAAGUCACUCUUGCCGAGUUGUCGAUAAACACAUGAGAAUUUUUCUGUUAAAGGAAAAAGACUUAUCUUAGAUUUAGAGCCAAAGAAUGAGGGUUGUAGAGAGUAAAGGGGAACACUUCAAAGACAGCUUCAUUCGGAAGAAGAACAGGGGAGAAUGCUUGCAAUACUGUUGUUAUGAUUCUGAACAUUUUCAGCAGCUUAUUCUCAAUACUAAAAAGAAUUCAACUGGAGCACUUUAAGAAGGACCGUUGAAUGAGCUAAAACUUUGAUGAACCUAUACACUUUUAGCUGAACAAUUCUUGAAGGUUUGUUAUCUCCUCAAGUAUUCCUAUUAGUUGUAGGAUUUUGUGGAGUUUAAGUUGAGUUUCAUUGUUGUGAGUUGCUUAAUCUUUGUGUCUUAGGUAGGUUAGGAAACCUGAUGCCAAGCCCCUACUAAUAAUCAAAGACUAUCCUGUCUACAUGCACAUUUGUUUUUCUUCUUGAGUUCUUGAUUACAUUGAUCGGUGAUUAUUCCUUCUACAAUAUUCAUUAGGUAUUGAUAUUCUAUCAAGUUGUUGUUAGCUUGAGUUAGCCCAGUUGCUUCUGACUAACUGUUUGGAUGACACAAGGUAAAAUCUUGCAGCUAUACUAUUGAUACAAGAGGCUAACUGUUUGAAUGACGUACACAAGGUAAAAAUGUUGCAGCUAUACCAUUGAUAUAAGCUACAAAGUCUUGCAUCAAAUAUUGCAGAUAGCCGUGAAAAUUUAUCUUUUCCCCAUGCACAAGCUUGGGAGGAGACUGCUAUUUUGAGUCACUCUUGGUGCGCGUUAUAGUGAACUUUUAUUUGUUGCUGGAAUCAUUAUUCCAUCAUAACUAAGAACGGGUAACAAUUGGGAUGAAUGUAAAUAUUAGUUAGUAAGGAUAGUAAUUCAGUUGGGCUCUACUAAUUAUAGGAUUCACUUUUAUCUUAAAAACAUGAUGUGGGUGAAUUACUCGCUUGCAUUUUCUCCUUCACAAAUUGGAGAUGAAUAUUUCCUCUAGACAGGGUCUAUAUUGUUUGCUUCUACCACGAUGAUUUUGACAAAAUGACGGCGAACUUAUAUUUAUUGAGAGCGCUUUCUAAUUCUACUUUGUAGUGAGCUCAAUUUGUUUUUCUUUUGUUAUGUUCUUUUUUUCCGCUUUUGAAUUGACAAGUUUCUUCAACCUUCUUGAUAUUAUCCUUGGUAUUAAAGAGUUUGUUGAGUUGUAACAGCCAAGCUUAUCAUGUAUAUGACUCAUUGCUCAUUGAUUGUAAUCUUUCAUUGAUCACGGAACAGUUUGGAAGUUUUUAAAGGAGUUAAAAGUAUAAGAAAAUGUUGUUUAAUAAGGAGCCUAAAAAGGUGCAGUUCAAAUGUGAAAUCUGCUUGUACUCUCAUAUAGAACUUAAGAA
Molecule: long non-coding RNA, 1650 nt
Organism: Solanum tuberosum (potato)
Lineage: Eukaryota; Viridiplantae; Streptophyta; Magnoliopsida; Solanales; Solanaceae
Exons: 5
Source: RefSeq, a predicted model, not a curated record